CCUACGGGAGGCAGCAGUGGGGAAUAUUGCACAAUGGGCGAAAGCCUGAUGCAGCGACGCCGCGUGAGGGAUGACGGCCUUCGGGUUGUAAACCUCUUUCAGCAGGGAAGAAGCGAAAGUGACGGUACCUGCAGAAGAAGCGCCGGCUAACUACGUGCCAGCAGCCGCGGUAAUACGUAGGGCGCAAGCGUUGUCCGGAAUUAUUGGGCGUAAAGAGCUCGUAGGCGGCUUGUCACGUCGGGUGUGAAAGCCCGGGGCUUAACCCCGGGUCUGCAUUCGAUACGGGCUAGCUAGAGUGUGGUAGGGGAGAUCGGAAUUCCUGGUGUAGCGGUGAAAUGCGCAGAUAUCAGGAGGAACACCGGUGGCGAAGGCGGAUCUCUGGGCCAUUACUGACGCUGAGGAGCGAAAGCGUGGGAGCGAACAGGAUUAGAUACCCUGGUAGUCCACGCCGUAAACGGUGGAACUAGGUGUUGGCGACAUUCCACGUCGUCGGUGCCGCAGCUAACGCAUUAAGUUCCCCGCCUGGGGAGUACGGCCGCAAGGCUAAAACUUAAGGAAUUGACGGCUGAAGACGNGCGACGCGACGACGAGGAGAG
RNAcentral lists this ribosomal RNA (596 nucleotides) under uncultured bacterium. RNAcentral describes it as "bacterial SSU rRNA". It matches the Rfam family "Bacterial small subunit ribosomal RNA", at positions 338 to 960 of the family's 1533-position model. The record is from RNAcentral.